UACCGAGGUCCCAAGCGUUGUUCGGAUUCACUGGGCGUAAAGGGUGCUUAGGCGGUCGGGUAAGUCUGACGUGAAAUCUCCGGGCCUAACCCGGAAACUGCGUCGGAUACUAUCCGGCUAGAGGAUUGGAUGGGAGACUGGAAUACUUGGUGUAGCAGUGAAAUGCGUAGAUAUCAAGUGGAACACCAGUGGCGAAGGCGAGUCUCUGGACAAUUCCUGACGCUGAGGCACGAAAGCCAGGGGAGCAAACGGG
RNAcentral lists this ribosomal RNA (253 nucleotides) under uncultured bacterium. Its description in RNAcentral is "partial 16S ribosomal RNA". It matches the Rfam family "Bacterial small subunit ribosomal RNA", at positions 524 to 776 of the family's 1533-position model. The record is from RNAcentral.